CGCGCAGGCGGCUCGGAAAGUCGGGUGUGAAAACCCGGGGCUCAACCCCGGACCUGCAUCCGAUACUCCCGGGCUAGAGGCAGGUAGGGGAGAGUGGAAUUCCUGGUGUAGCGGUGAAAUGCGCAGAUAUCAGGAGGAACACCGGUGGCGAAGGCGGCUCUCUGGACCUGUCCUGACGCUCAGGCGCGAAAGCUAGGGGAGCGAACA
Molecule: ribosomal RNA, 207 nt
Filed under: uncultured bacterium
Lineage: Bacteria
Description: partial 16S ribosomal RNA
Rfam family: Bacterial small subunit ribosomal RNA
Source: RNAcentral